This 443-nucleotide ribosomal RNA is filed under the name uncultured Romboutsia sp. RNAcentral describes it as "bacterial SSU rRNA". It matches the Rfam family "Bacterial small subunit ribosomal RNA", at positions 417 to 879 of the family's 1533-position model. The record is from RNAcentral. Lineage: Bacteria; Bacillati; Bacillota; Clostridia; Peptostreptococcales; Peptostreptococcaceae.
UUCGGGUCGUAAAGCUCUGUCCUCANGGAAGAUAAUGACGGUACUUGAGGAGGAAGCCCCGGCUAACUACGUGCCAGCAGCCGCGGUAAUACGUAGGGGGCUAGCGUUAUCCGGAAUUACUGGGCGUAAAGGGUGCGUAGGUGGUUUCUUAAGUCAGAGGUGAAAGGCUACGGCUCAACCGUAGUAAGCCUUUGAAACUGGGAAACUUGAGUGCAGGAGAGGAGAGUGGAAUUCCUAGUGUAGCGGUGAAAUGCGUAGAUNUUAGGAGGAACACCAGUUGCGAAGGCGGCUCUCUGGACUGUAACUGACACUGAGGCACGAAAGCGUGGGGAGCAAACAGGAUUAGAUACCCUGGUAGUCCACGCCGUAAACGAUGAGUACUAGCUGUCGGAGGUUACCCCCUUCGGUGGCGCANCUAACGCAUUAAGUACUCCGCCUGGGAA